AUUGAACGCUGGCGGCAGGCCUAACACAUGCAAGUCGAACGAGUGGCGGACGGGUGAGUAAUGUCUGGGAAACUGCCUGAUGGAGGGGGAUAACUACUGGAAACGGUGGCUAAUACCGCAUACCAUCAGAUGUGCCCAGAUGGGAUUAGCUAGUAGGUGGGGUAACGGCUCACCUAGGCGACGAUCCCUAGCUGGUCUGAGAGGAUGACCAGCCACACGGGAACUGGGACACGGUCCAGACUCAUACGAGAGGCAGCAGGGGGGAAUAUUGCACCAUGGGCGAAAGCCUGAUGCAGCCAUGCCGCGUGUAUGAAGAAGGCCUUCGGGUUGUAAAGUACUUUCAGCGGGGAGGCGUUACCCGCAGAAGAAGCACCGGCUAACUCCGUGCCAGCAGCCGCGGUUAUUC
This 406-nucleotide ribosomal RNA is filed under the name uncultured bacterium. Its description in RNAcentral is "partial 16S ribosomal RNA". It matches the Rfam family "Bacterial small subunit ribosomal RNA", at positions 30 to 526 of the family's 1533-position model. The record is from RNAcentral.